AAUCACUGAAUGAUCGUCAGUUUCUUGCUGAUUAUAUCACACUAUUCAUGAACCUCGGAUUUUGUAGUCAUCCAGACUGGAGUAUGGAGAAUAAAGAUAUCAACAUAGUAGCAACAUGUUACAUAACUUGUAAUGCUGCUGAACAUAGCAUUACUUCAUUGACCAAAUACAUGGAGAAUGAAUCGGGAUUAAUGUGUAGUGACUAUAUACUACCAUAAUGUAUCAGAUUUUCUAUCUGACAGCUCAUGGCAUAUAACAUCAAAUACCACCUGUUGCAACCUUAAAUCAUGGACACUAAAUACAUGAAAAACACAUAGGAACAAUGAAGACUUAACAGUUACUGUGUUCAUAAACACUGGAACACAUCAGUGGAAUCAAACUCUAGAAGACCACUAGUAAUCCAAAAGAUUCAUACCUGGGUACAUCAUCAAGGAGCCUUAUUGUUACUAACUUUUAUGCAGGACAUGUCAUUAUCAAAUUUCUUGUGUGAUAAAAUGUAAAAUCUAUCACUGCCGAUUGUGUUCAUAAUGUGCAAGAGGAAUUGGUCCAAUGUUUUCAUCGAAAAACACAUGAACAUUCUAACUUGUGAGAAACUUGAAGACUAUCAAAAGGAUAACUAUGAAAGAAAAUUUCAUUCAUGGAAAAAGAACUGUGUGAAUUAAGAUCAGAAUUAACAUUUCCUAGUAAUUGUUUUCAGUAAGAUUAUCAGCUCCACUUUUUAUAGAAGAAAAAAUGAAUGUUAUAUUCAUUCGGUAUGACUGACCUGUUGGUGUUGUUGAUUUUCAUUAUACAAUACUUACAAAUCUAUUACAUCAAAACUUUAUAUGUGGAAUCCAGGGUGAUAAGUUCAACCUGGACCCCUCAUUUUCAGGUCAAAGGGUCAAAGUCACUGGGACUUGUGGUAACCAAACAUAAAACUAGCCAUUUAAUAGUCAUUAACUGAGGAACAUCAGACUUUGACAAAUUGUAUGUACCAGAUUUAACCAUGAUGAGUUGUACCUGCCAUGAUACUCAUUUUGGGUCAAAAGGUCAUGGUGAUGGUUCACAAUGACCUGUGUUGAUAUUUUUAAUAAGAUUUUUAAGGUCAAGAACACAGUUAUGAAAUGUGGGCACAGCCAGCUUAGUCAAAGUCAAGGUUGAUGUGAUUUUAUUCAAAUUAUCUAUUUUUGUAGAAAAUAUGAAGUUUACUAUCCAGAUAAGCACUGAGAAAACUGGAAUGCACUGCUCUUCUGACAGCUCAAUCUUACUUGUUGUUUUUUUUGCUAUCCUUGAACUAUUCAUGAAAAUUGUUUGGAAUUUGUGAGCAUUUGAAUGAAAUUUUCUGUAUAAUUAGAACAGUCAAAACUGCAGAACUGGAGAUAUGAGCCGCAUCAUGACAAAACCAACAUAAUGGGUUUGCAUCCGCGCAGUCUGAUGCGCAGGCUGGUCUGGAUCCAUGCUUGUCGCAAACCCAUUAUGUUGGUUUUGUCAUGACACGGCUCAUAUAAGCUUGCAUACCUCUUAAUGUUCUAAACUACUAUGCCGGCAGCUUUCAGUAUGUCUAAAAACAUUAAUCUGCAGUGCAAGCACUAUCAUAAUGUCAAAAAUAGAAAGCAUUGGCUAUAUACUUGGUCACAGCUUCUGAAAUAUGUAUUUUCUUCUAACAUGUAUGUGUGAUGUCAAAAAAAACUGUUCAUGUAAAGUUUUACAUUUGAUAAUGCAAUUAAAAGGGAAUAAAUAAUUAAAAAA
Molecule: long non-coding RNA, 1728 nt
Organism: Ruditapes philippinarum (Manila clam)
Lineage: Eukaryota; Metazoa; Mollusca; Bivalvia; Venerida; Veneridae
Exons: 2
Source: RefSeq, a predicted model, not a curated record